CCUACGGGCGGCUGCAGUGAGGAAUAUUGGUCAAUGGACGAGAGUCUGAACCAGCCAAGUAGCGUGAAGGAUGACUGCCCUAUGGGUUGUAAACUUCUUUUAUAUGGGAAUAAAACGUUCCACGUGUGGGAUUUUGUAUGUACCAUAUGAAUAAGGAUCGGCUAACUCCGUGCCAGCAGCCGCGGUAAUACGGAGGAUCCGAGCGUUAUCCGGAUUUAUUGGGUUUAAAGGGAGCGUAGGUGGAUUGUUAAGUCAGUUGUGAAAGUUUGCUGCUCAACCGUAAAAUUGCAGUUGAAGCUGGCAGUCUUGAGUACAGUAGAGGUGUGCGGAAUUCGUGGUGUAGCGGUGAAAUGCUUAGAUAUCACGAAGAACUCCGAUUGCGAAGGCAGUUCACUGGACUGCAACUGACACUGAGGCUCGAAAGUGUGGGUAUCAAACAGGAUUAGAUACCCGGGUAGUC
This 460-nucleotide ribosomal RNA is filed under the name uncultured bacterium. RNAcentral's name for it is "partial 16S ribosomal RNA". It matches the Rfam family "Bacterial small subunit ribosomal RNA", at positions 338 to 795 of the family's 1533-position model. The record is from RNAcentral.